CAAUAGCGUAUAUUAAAGUUGUUGCGGUUAAAAAGCUCGUAGUUGGAUUUCUGCUGAGAACGACCGGUCCGCCCUUUGGGUGUGUAUCUGGCUCUUUCUUGGCAUCUUCUUGGUGAACGUUGCUGCACUUGACUGUGUGGAGCGCUACCCAGGACUUUUACUUUGAGGAAAUUAGAGUGUUUCAAGCAGGCAUACGCCUUGAAUACAUUAGCAUGGAAUAAUAAGAUAGGACCUCGGUUCUAUUUUGUUGGUUUCUAGAGCUGAGGUAAUGAUUAAUAGGGAUAGUUGGGGCAUUCGUAUUUAACUGUCAGAGGUGAAAUUCUUGGAUUUGCUAAAGACGGACUACUGCGAAAGCAUUUGCCAAGGAUGUUUUCAUUG
Molecule: ribosomal RNA, 378 nt
Filed under: uncultured eukaryote
Lineage: Eukaryota
Description: partial 18S ribosomal RNA
Rfam family: Eukaryotic small subunit ribosomal RNA
Source: RNAcentral